UACGUAGGGUGCAAGCGUUAAUCGGAUUUACUGGGCGUAAAGCGUGCGUAGGUGGUUUGUUAAGUCAGGUGUGAAAUCCCCGGGCUCAACCUGGGAACUGCGCUUGAAACUGGCAAGCUAGAGUGUGGUAGAGGGUAGUGGAAUUCCCGGUGUAGCGGUGAAAUGCGUAGAUAUCGGGAAGAACACCAGUGGCGAAGGCGGCUACCUGGACCAACACUGACACUGAGGCACGAAAGCGUGGGGAGCAAACAGG
This 253-nucleotide ribosomal RNA is filed under the name uncultured bacterium. RNAcentral's name for it is "partial 16S ribosomal RNA". It matches the Rfam family "Bacterial small subunit ribosomal RNA", at positions 524 to 776 of the family's 1533-position model. The record is from RNAcentral.